Phasianus colchicus (ring-necked pheasant) is the source of this 237-nucleotide non-coding RNA. The record is from RefSeq and is a predicted model, not a curated record. Lineage: Eukaryota; Metazoa; Chordata; Aves; Galliformes; Phasianidae.
AUCCACUCUACUGGAGUUUCCUGAGCAAGCCCACGACACGGCACAGGUGCAUACUUCAUCCAACAAUCUGUCUAAAUUGGAUUUCAAGUGGAUUAUCAUGCCCAAGGGAUGUGUAAAUUGUUACGUGGAUCAGCUGGUUACGUCUCAAAGGUGAACCAAGAACUGCAAAUGCCUCUUACCCUCUCCUGUCCUAGGUACUUCGUGGCAGCAGGUAUAAAUUUUCUUUAGGCUCUACAG